CACACUUCCUUGUUUGAAAAUAUCUCCCGCAAAGAAUCCCGUGAAGAGAGACACAAUUAGAAAAUGUCGAAGAAUAUACUUACAGUUUGUGAAUAAAAAUAAGCGAACUGUUAGUCAAUGUGAGAAAAACAGUGAAUGAAAGAAAACAUGUGCCCGAUCAGCCGAUCGAGGCAGCCAGUGGCAGUACAGAUAGAUGAGAAAAGGAGGUAGCCGGCAGGAGCACGUCAAGACGCAAAUUAGUUGAGAUGAAGAUGAGAGCUAGCAGCGAUCAACCAGGCAGCAGCCAGUCAACCAACAGUGGCUUUUAUAUCACAUGUCACAAAUAAAGCAAUGUGUACAUGUUUUGCCCUAAGUAUCUAAACACUAGACUGAAAAUCACCAUAGACCUCACCAACCAGGGAUUUUGUAAUUCUGUCAUGAUAGAAUGUGCACACUGUUAAGGUGAUCGUGAUACAUUUAGGAGGAGUGUUUACACUUCUUCCAGGCUACAGGCGUGCUCCAGGGGAGAUGUGGCAUUUGAAAUGUGAAGAUGGUUCUUGUAGCCCACGAACUUGGACUUGGUUAUGCAGCUCUAAAGAAAAUAAGCAAAGUACUAGGGAUUCCUUCCGUGCUUCACAGAUCAUAUCAGAGAUUCAACAGAUGGUGGAAGACAUUUUGGCUGGAGGGAGGCAUUCUUUGCAGUGAAGGUAGACCCAUGAGCCCGUCCGAAAUGCUUGAAACAGCUGACAGUGAAAAGAGGCCUAGAGACUUCAGUCCAGUUGCCAGCUGCGUACCUAUUAGCACCCCACAGAAACCCUAACAUCUCCUCUGUGGGGUUGUGUUUGUUUGACUUUGUCAUUAUUGAAUUGAGACACACAUACACAGUGGUUGUGAAUUGAGAAUGUGUAUUGACUCAUUUUCAAGGGUGCACUGGCCAUCCCGGAUAAUUUUUAGACUGAGCAAUACCCAUUUUUAGACUGAGAAACACUUCCAAACUUUCGACUCUGGUCUUGGACAAUUCAACUUUGGUUGAGUUUAUCUCAGAAAUAUUAAAUGGGUUUCUGAGGCCAAGUUUUCCAUUCUUUCUGGACCUCAAUCCUGACUCUUGAAUUCAUUUAUUGAGGAGGGCUUGAAUAAAAAUAGAAUAUGACAUGAGUUUUUGUGGCUUUGUGUUGAUUGAAUAUGUUUGAAUAAAGAUUAUCCUAAAAGUGUCUUUAAGAUGUCAUCAGCGAGUUUGUAAUUUGAUGUAAUGAGUGUGUAAUUUGAUGUAAUUCUGGGGCAUUCCAAGUAUGAACUUCACAAAUCAUAAAUCCAGUUUUGACAUAUGGUAUAUUGUUGUUAUUCAAUAUUCAAUAAUAAUACACAGGUUAAUGAGUGAGAGUCUCAUCUCCACUAUUCCACUAUGUCAUAUGGGAGAGUGGGGUAAAUUUAACUAUAUUUUACAUUCAGCAUCACUCCGUCUCAGGAAAUAAAGUAUUCUUUCUAACAAAGAUAUCCACAUAUAUUUCGGGAUGUUGUGUUUACCUGGAAAUAAUAAGAAUUCAUGUGAACAUUACAGUUUUGAAAACAUAGCUUGUCCAAAAAAAGUGGUCUCUGCACAACUACGGCUCAACUUGGGGUAAGUUGAGCCGUAGGCCAGGUAAGUUAAGCCGCCUACACAUUUCUGUACUGAAUUAAAUAUUACCGCUACCUUUUUAUAACCAUGUCUAUCUUUAUUUCCAAACACAAUUCAACACAAUCACUUUUUUGUCUUUUAUUAAUUUUAAGCAUAUUUUAACACAGGCUUAACACCUAACAAAC
RNAcentral lists this long non-coding RNA (1779 nucleotides) under Salmo salar (Atlantic salmon). RNAcentral's name for it is "lncRNA (ENSSSAG00000096382.1, ENSSSAG00020054464.1)". The record is from RNAcentral. Lineage: Eukaryota; Metazoa; Chordata; Actinopteri; Salmoniformes; Salmonidae.